AGGAAGUAAAAGUCGUAACAAGGUUUCCGUAGGUGAACCUGCGGAAGGAUCAUUAACGAGUAAACAAGGGAGUUGUAGCUGGCCGCAAGGCAUGUGCACGCUCUCUACUCAAUCCAACCUUACACCUGUGCAUCUAUUGUAGGUCGGGUGGCUUGGCUUCUGUCGAGCUACUCUUCCUAUGUUCUACACAUACACUGUAGUCUUAGAAUGUCAUCUGCGUAUAACGCAUCUAUAAACAACUUUCAACAACGGAUCUCUUGGCUCUCGCAUCGAUGAAGAACGCAGCGAAAUGCGAUAAGUAAUGUGAAUUGCAGAAUUCAGUGAAUCAUCGAAUCUUUGAACGCACCUUGCGCUCCUUGGUAUUCCGAGGAGCAUGCCUGUUUGAGUGUCAUGAAUAUCUCAACUCACCCAGUUUUUGUGACUGUGGUGAGCUUGGACUUGGAGGUAUGCUGGCUGACUAGUCGGCUCCUCUCUAAAUGUAUUAGCUGGACCCGUUACGGAUCAGUACUCGGUGUGAUAAUUGUCUACGCCGUGUCUGUGAAGUGCCUUAGUGGAUCAGCUUCCAAUCGUCUUCGGACAACUCUGACAUUUUGACCUCAAAUCAGGUAGGAUUACCCGCUGAACUUAAGCA
Molecule: ribosomal RNA, 631 nt
Filed under: Gloeophyllum striatum
Lineage: Eukaryota; Fungi; Basidiomycota; Agaricomycetes; Gloeophyllales; Gloeophyllaceae
Description: eukaryotic LSU rRNA
Rfam family: 5.8S ribosomal RNA (bases 238-391)
Source: RNAcentral